UCCCUGGUGGUCCAGUGGUUAGGACUUGGCACUUUCGCUGCUGUGGCCUGGGUUGGAUCCCUGCUUGGGUA
RNAcentral lists this transfer RNA (71 nucleotides) under Bos taurus (domestic cattle). It matches the Rfam family "tRNA". From Rfam's summary of the family: Transfer RNA (tRNA) molecules are approximately 80 nucleotides in length. Their secondary structure includes four short double-helical elements and three loops (D, anti-codon, and T loops). RNAcentral also lists the same sequence under 3 other names. The record is from Rfam by way of RNAcentral. Lineage: Eukaryota; Metazoa; Chordata; Mammalia; Artiodactyla; Bovidae.